Acipenser ruthenus (sterlet) is the source of this 2307-nucleotide RNA transcript. It is a transcript of the gene named basic salivary proline-rich protein 2-like, with no coding region annotated. The transcript has 2 exons. NCBI's taxonomy places the organism in Eukaryota, Metazoa, Chordata, Actinopteri, Acipenseriformes, Acipenseridae. The record is from RefSeq and is a predicted model, not a curated record.
CACACACGCACACACACACACACCCCCCCGCACACACACACACACACACACACACACACACCCACCCCCCCCCACCCCCCCCACCCGCACACACACACACACACACACUGACACGUUGUGUCCCUCUCUUUGUAAACAGGUCUCUUCAUUUGCAUGCGUUUGAAAGGAAUACUUCAUCCCGUCUCCCUGCCUCCUCGUUUGAAUAGCUGUCAGGCUGCUUUGCAUAAACCAGCCACGUCUUUCACUGUGCUUUACCAUACUUUACCACACCUGUCUGUGCUUUACCAUGCUUUACCACACCUCUCUGUGCUUUACAAUGCUUCCCUAUGCUUUACCAGACCUCUCUGUGCUUUACAAUGCUUCCCUAUGCUUUACCAGACCUCUCUGUGCUUUACAAUGCUUCCCUAUGCUUUACCAGACCUCUCUGUGCUUUACAAUGCUUCCCUGUGCUUUACCACACCUCUCUGUGCUUUACAAUGCUUCCCUAUGCUUUACCAGACCUCUCUGUGCUUUACAAUGCUUCCCUAUGCUUUACCACACCUCUCUGUGCUUUACAAUGCUUCCCUAUGCUUUACCAGACCUCUCUGUGCUUUACAAUGCUUCCCUAUGCUUUACCAGACCUCUCUGUGCUUUACAAUGCUUCCCUGUGCUUUACCAGACCUCUCUGUGCUUUACAAUGCUUCCCUAUGCUUUACCAGACCUCUCUGUGCUUUACAAUGCUUCCCUGUGCUUUACCAGACCUCUCUGUGCUUUACAAUGCUUCCCUAUGCUUUACCAGACCUCUCUGUGCUUUACAAUGCUUCCCUAUGCUUUACCAGACCUCUCUGUGCUUUACAAUGCUUCCCUGUGCUUUACCAGACCUCUCUGUGCUUUACAAUGCUUCCCUAUGCUUUACCAGACCUCUCUGUGCUUUACAAUGCUUCCCUGUGCUUUACCACACCUCUCUGUGCUUUACAAUGCUUCCCUAUGCUUUACCAGACCUCUCUGUGCUUUACAAUGCUUCCCUAUGCUUUACCAGACCUCUCUGUGCUUUACAAUGCUUUCCUGUGCUUUACCAGACCUCUCUGUGCUUUACAAUGUUUGCCUUUAUUACACUCAGCUCUGCUUUUGAUUAUCUUUUGGUUUUUUUUACCUAGAAAUGUGUGUUUUUUGUUCAGUUCAUGGAUAACGGAUUCCAGGGAAGCGAGCGGAGUGGUGUUACUGGGAAAGGGGCGGAGUCGAGGGAGAUGAUUGGCUGAUAGACGGGUUCAAGAGAAUCCUGGUUAUUGUUCUGAGCGCUUAUCAGAGAAACUGCUGACCUGGACUGGAAACUUGUUAUUGAGAAUGAGAGAGAAAGACAUUAACCCUUCAAACAGAGUCCCACAGCGACAGCAUGGGAAGCAUUGUGAAGCACAGAGAGGUCUGGUAAAACAGUGCUUUACAAUGCUUCCCUAUGCUUUACCAGACCUCUCUGUGCUAUACAAUGCUUCCCUAUGCUUUACCAGACCUCUCUGUGCUUUACAAUGCUUCCCUAUGCUUUAUCACACCUCUCUAUGCUUUACAAUGCUUCCCUAUGCUUUACCAGACCUCUCUGUGCUUUACAAUGCUUGCCUAUGCUUUACCAGACCUCUCUGUGCUUUACAAUGCUUCCCUAUGCUUUACCAGACCUCUCUGUGCUUUACAAUGCUUCCCUGUGCUUUACCAGACCUCUCUGUGCUUUACAAUGCUUCCCUAUGCUUUACCAGACCUCUCUGUGCUUUACAAUGCUUCCCUGUGCUUUACCACACCUCUCUGUGCUUUACAAUGCUUCCCUAUGCUUUACCAGACCUCUCUGUGCUUUACAAUGCUUCCCUAUGCUUUACCAGACCUCUCUGUGCUUUACAAUGCUUUCCUGUGCUUUACCAGACCUCUCUGUGCUUUACAAUGUUUGCCUUUAUUACACUCAGCUCUGCUUUUGAUUAUCUUUUGGUUUUUUUUACCUAGAAAUGUGUGUUUUUUGUUCAGUUCAUGGAUAACGGAUUCCAGGGAAGCGAGCGGAGUGGUGUUACUGGGAAAGGGGCGGAGUCGAGGGAGAUGAUUGGCUGAUAGACGGGUUCAAGAGAAUCCUGGUUAUUGUUCUGAGCGCUUAUCAGAGAAACUGCUGACCUGGACUGGAAACUUGUUAUUGAGAAUGAGAGAGAAAGACAUUAACCCUUCAAACAGAGUCCCACAGCGACAGCAUGGGAAGCAUUGUGAAGCACAGAGAGAACAAGUCAUGGAAGACGUUCUUCACGGUGAUGCAUUCGUUCAGGAGACAGAACUCCUUCAUCCAGCUGGCCGGUCACCAGG